CUGGAAUGCUUGUCUGUGUGGUUGUACAAGCAAUUUUCUUUCUGACAGUGAUUUACAGAAUGAACUGGAAUGAAGCAUCCGAUAAGGCUCUGGUUAAUGCAGGUGUGGUGCAAGAUGUGGAUGCCUCAAACAGUGCCUCUGGUGGUCAAAUGCGGGAUAUCUCAACAGGAGGAGAUGUCCUCAAGCUAGCAUCAUCCAACUAUUAAUCCCGAGAGCCAGCUAAUGUUCUGGGACCUGGGUUUGAAUCCAACCGUGGUGGAUGGUGGAACUUGA
Non-coding RNA from Chiloscyllium plagiosum (whitespotted bambooshark), 273 nucleotides. The record is from RefSeq and is a predicted model, not a curated record. NCBI's taxonomy places the organism in Eukaryota, Metazoa, Chordata, Chondrichthyes, Orectolobiformes, Hemiscylliidae.